This 432-nucleotide long non-coding RNA is filed under the name Mus musculus (house mouse). Its description in RNAcentral is "predicted gene, 48293". Lineage: Eukaryota; Metazoa; Chordata; Mammalia; Rodentia; Muridae. The record is from RNAcentral.
ACAUGCCACACAUCUCGGAUAGCAGAGCCAGCAUCGGCUGUCUUGUGGAAGAGUCGGUCACGGUCACAUCUGGGAGCGGCACUGUCGUUCCUGUCUCGUAUGUGCUCCUGUGUCACAUGUCACCUGUCAUCUUCAGAACCUGGAGGUUAUGACUUCGAGAAGCCAAGGCCUGCUCAGGUGACGACAGCUUCAGAGAAGCAGGAGGUAGAGAAUUCUGGGCUUUGAGUUCUGCUCACAAGACCGGGGCAUCAAGCUGCUGCAUCUUAGCCUGCUUCUUAGAUGAAGAUGUUAACAGCGCAGACUUCCUUUCCCAGUGUCUGGUGUCUCUGGAUUAGACCCUCCUAACAUAGAUACUCCUCUAUUUUCCCUGCUUUUUGGAGACAGGGGUUUAUUAUGUAGCCCAGGUUAGCUUCAAACUAGAGUUCUUAUUGC